UGCCCUGUACACACGGAUAACAUACCGAAAGGUAUGCUAAUACGGGAUAACAUAAGAAAUUCGCAUGUUUUUCUUAUCAAAGCUCCGGCGGUACAGGAUGGACCCGCGUCUGAUUAGCUAGUUGGUGAGGUAACGGCUCACCAAGGCGACGAUCAGUAGCCGACCUGAGAGGGUGAUCGGCCACAUUGGAACUGAGACACGGUCCAAACUCCUACGGGAGGCAGCAGUGGGGAAUAUUGCACAAUGGGCGAAAGCCCGAUGCAGCAACGCCGCGUAAGCGAUGAAGGCCUUCGGGUCGUAAAGCUCUGUCCUCAAGGAAGAUAAUGACGGUACUUGAGGAGGAAGCCCCGGCUAACUACGUGCCAGCAGCCGCGGUAAUACGUAGGGGGCUAGCGUUAUCCGGAUUUACUGGGCGUAAAGGGUGCGUAGGCGGUCUUUUAAGUCAGGAGUGAAAGGCUACGGCUCAACCGUAGUAAGCUCUUGAAACUGGAGGACUUGAGUGCAGGAGAGGAGAGUGGAAUUCCUAGUGUAGCGGUGAAAUGCGUAGAUAUUAGGAGGAACACCAGUAGCGAAGGCGGCUCUCUGGACUGUAACUGACGCUGAGGCACGAAAGCGUGGGGAGCAAACAGGAUUAGAUACCCUGGUAGUCCACGCCGUAAACGAUGAGUGCUAGCUGUCGGAGGUUACCCCCUUCGGUGGCGCAG
This 704-nucleotide ribosomal RNA is filed under the name uncultured bacterium. RNAcentral describes it as "bacterial SSU rRNA". It matches the Rfam family "Bacterial small subunit ribosomal RNA", at positions 127 to 851 of the family's 1533-position model. The record is from RNAcentral.